UACGGAGGAUGCGAGCGUUAUCCGGAUUUAUUGGGUUUAAAGGGUGCGUAGGCGGAUUUGUAAGUCAGCGGUAAAAAUGCGGUGCUCAACGCCGUAUCGCCGUUGAAACUGAUGAUCUUGAGUGGGCGAGAAGUAUGCGGAAUGCGUGGUGUAGCGGUGAAAUGCAUAGAUAUCACGCAGAACUCCGAUUGCGAAGGCAGCAUACCGGCGCCCGACUGACGCUGAAGCACGAAAGCGUGGGUAUCGAACAGG
This 252-nucleotide ribosomal RNA is filed under the name uncultured Bacteroidales bacterium. RNAcentral's name for it is "partial 16S ribosomal RNA". It matches the Rfam family "Bacterial small subunit ribosomal RNA", at positions 524 to 776 of the family's 1533-position model. Lineage: Bacteria; Pseudomonadati; Bacteroidota; Bacteroidia; Bacteroidales. The record is from RNAcentral.